GUGAGAGGUCCAAGUGGGUUCCUGCCAAGGACGUGUGUGGAUUGGGGGAGUGUGGAGACAUGGCCAGAAAGUCUUGAAAGUCAGAAAGGCCAGAAAGUCACACCAUGGGGCCUUGAAUGCCUGGCUGAGGCGCUGGGGCUCCAGGCAGGCAACGGGAAGCUACUGAAAGGGGUUUUUGUUGUUGUUCAGAGAAAUAAUACCAUUAGGGAUGACUUUCAGGCAGGGUGACCGGGCAGAAAGGGGUUAAGUCAGGGGAAGGAGCUCCCCCGUGGGGGUGGAGGCAGUUUGGUUGCCAAAAGACCAACAGACCAUUUAGGUGUUGCACAUCAGACAAUCAGAAAAAUCUGUCCAGAGAUAAUGGCUGAACCCUUUCCCGAGAGAACAGACAGCAGAAGGUUCUGGUCAUUUCCUCAGGGGAUAGGGAAGGAGGAAGCAUUAGAACACAAGAGAAGCCAAAGAGAAUGUAGCCAAGAGGAGAGACACCAACAACAGCCAGGCGGGAUACAGGUUUCCAUCAAGAAGUUACAGCCAUGAUUGAGAACCCCGGCCCCGGAGCGCGGGGCUGUGGGAGUUGGAAUCCCAGCAGCCUAACUAGUCAUGAUUAGCACAGGGACUUCAAAGAGUUUUCGAGUGUUUGUUUCUUCAUAUAUGAAAUGGGGGUGAUUUCUAUCUUCAAGGGAUGUGGGCAUUCACCGAGAUAAAGUUCUUAGUGUACACAGUAGGAGCCAAGGAGCGAAGAGGACCCGCGGGAGAAGCAACUGUAGAGAUUAAGGGUGUUCGCUGGAGGAGCAUCUGGAAAUGGAGGAAAGGGACCCUCCAGAAGCCCAACAUUUAGCCGGGAUCGCUGACUGCUCUGUGAGAGUUGGGAGUGAGCUGGUCAAGGCAGCCUCAGCCCAGUCCUCACCCCAAAGCACAGUCCUUAAGCCGACGCUUCCAUCCUGCCACGCCUCCCAACCUCCCGCCCCCAGCUUCCCGCGGGUCUCCCACGCCAGCCAGUUCCAGGACCCCGACGCGCAUGCGUCUUCCGGCGCCCCUACUCAGCUUUCCACGUUUCACUUCCCUCCCUUUUUCCUCCUCAGCUCCCACUCCACCGCCGCGAUUGGCCAGCGGGCCUCCCCACUUCGGCCAAUAAACGCCGCUUUCUCGCCCCCGUGUUACUGGGUAGAACAAAACAAAAACAAACAGAGCGAGAGGGGGCUGAGACGCUCUGAGGCGGCGGCAGAGGCUGAGCAGCGGGUCUCGGCCGGCGGACCGGGGACCUGGGCGAGCAGUGGCGACGGCGGCGGCCCGAGGGAGAAUAGAUCCAUCUAAUAGGCAAACCAUUCUAUUUAGAUGUAAACAUAGUAAAGCUAAGAACAUAAGCAGCUGUUAUAUAAAAUAGUGGUUGUCAUAAAAGAAGUACAAAAAGUGCUAGGUAAGCACAGAGGAAAUUACUUCCUGUUGGAGAGAAUCUGGAAACACAUCUCCAAGGAUAACUAGGACAUGGAAACAAGAGUCAUGAAAGGUUAGUGCUUCAAUGAUUAAUCUUGGAAGAAACAAGAAUAGUUCAUUUUGGCUACAGCAUGAGUAGUAUGGAAGUAGAAAGAAAUUAAGUAAAGAAGUUAGGUUUGCACCCUUGUUGACUGGCUGGGUAAAUACAAUUUUCAAUUUACCUGAAAGUUCUCCUGGUCUUUUUUCUGGCAACGUUAGGCAUCCAACCCAGUAUGACCAAGAUGACUUACAGUUCUUGACUCAAGCCUACAGAAGGAACUACAUGAGAUAAAGUGUAACAACUCUUGAAAAGAACCAUAUAAAAGACUUACGGUAUUUUUAUGAAUAUUCACAAGCAUUAAGUUAUUUAAUACAACGUAGGCGUGGAGGAUUAGGACGGUAGAGCUUCACCCAGCACCGCAGUCAUUGGUUUUAAGCCCCCAAAGGAGGAGAAACAAAAGGAAUAACGUAAUGUUAAGACAAGAGGCGGGGAAGUAAGACUUAGAAGUGUGGCCGCUGCAACCACCUCCUUCCUUUCUAGGCGGUAAUGCAAAACGAUUUCCUCAAGCUCCAGAAUUCUCUGUCCUCCAAAGAUCAGGGCGCAAGCACUUAAUAGGAACUUAAGGGGCUGAGGUCAGGAGCUCCAUCUUGCGGGAGUGCCCCGCGGUGCGCGCCUAAGCCCCCUCCCCACCCGGCUGGCUGCCCCCGGGCGCGAGGGACCGAUGGAGCGGCCUCGCCCCACAGGGAAUCUCAGAGGGGCGGGGGUAGAGCGGGCAGGCCAGCCCGGAAAGAAAACCUUCUUCCAGCGGAAGCGGCUGUGAGCCCUGCUCACCCCUCGCUCUCCGUCUCCUACCGGCCGUCUAGCUGUGGGCUGCCUCACCGGACAAGGCAGACGGACCCACAUCUCACUUUGCGACUCCAGCUGGAAUGGGCACUCCCGGUGAUGCUGGGGUCUCUGGCUAUUCCCACCCUUCCGCCGUGACCCCAUUCAGAAGUGCCAAAUGCAACUUCCGGGCAGGACAGGGAUUUUCGGAACCCUAACCUUUUGUCCACCUAGGUAAGUGACCAGACGUCCCAGCAAAAUAAGGGUCAGGAAACCUGCUCCUUCCUCUUCCCCAUCCCGGGCAGGUAGUUCUAAAUAUGAAUUAAGUUGUCUAACCUGGGAUGUCUGGUCACCUUUGGUCCUUUACCGGGCCUACUUACAGAUUUAUCUUCCCAGACGGCUCGACUGUUGCCCAGGGCAACGGUGAGAUUUGGGCGAAGGGAAAACUACGUCACACAGGAGACGGGAGGCCAGGAAACUCCCUGCCAUUAUCAGUUAUGGCUGCUUUGGCUUCAACAGUAACUUCCGAUUGCAAGUUGUCACUCUACCCUGUUGGAGGCUUACUCUGUGGCUCCGCUUGCCUGCGGCGUCCAGUGGGCGGGAGAGGGCGUAGAGCAGCCGUGUGGAGGAAAAGGGCGGAGCGAGGGAAGCUGGCUGCAAUGUCUCACUCUGAUUGGGCAGCGUCUUUGGCGCCAGCGCCUCACUCUGAUUGGGCAGCGUCAGUAUGCUUGGCUCCGCCUGUUUUUCUUCUCCGGCGAGUGACGGGCCUGAGCCGGAGGGGNNNNNNNNNNNNNNNNNNNNNNNNNNNNNNNNNNNNNNNNNN
Mustela putorius furo (domestic ferret) is the source of this 3116-nucleotide long non-coding RNA. The record is from Ensembl. Lineage: Eukaryota; Metazoa; Chordata; Mammalia; Carnivora; Mustelidae.